This 247-nucleotide long non-coding RNA is filed under the name Prunus persica (peach). RNAcentral's name for it is "long non-coding RNA (PPER_LNC001084)". Lineage: Eukaryota; Viridiplantae; Streptophyta; Magnoliopsida; Rosales; Rosaceae. The record is from RNAcentral.
GGGCACACACAUCCUUCCGUGGAUCCAGUCUCUGCCCAACAAAGCAUUGAAAUGGGUCGUUGUCUCCACUACAAAGAAAGCCGUUAUCCUAACCUUCUGCCCCACUCUAACUUGGAGUGGGAUGAUCCUUUUUGAUGUUGUUGUAUGUCUCAUGAAUUUACCGACCGUUGUCUAGAUCAGGAUUAGUUCGUCCAGCCCCUUCUUCAAUUUCCUCAUGAUUGAGGCCGAGAAGACGUUGACCGUAGCC